This 253-nucleotide ribosomal RNA is filed under the name uncultured bacterium. Its description in RNAcentral is "partial 16S ribosomal RNA". It matches the Rfam family "Bacterial small subunit ribosomal RNA", at positions 524 to 776 of the family's 1533-position model. The record is from RNAcentral.
UACAGAGGUCCCAAGCGUUGUUCGGAUUCACUGGGCGUAAAGGGUGCGUAGGUGGCCGGGUAAGUCUGACGUGAAAUCUCCGAGCCUAACUCGGAAACUGCGUCGGAUACUAUCCGGCUUGAGGGUUGGAGGGGGGACUGGAAUACUUGGUGUAGCAGUGAAAUGCGUAGAUAUCAAGUGGAACACCAGUGGCGAAGGCGAGUCCCUGGACAACUCCUGACACUGAGGCACGAAAGCUAGGGGAGCAAACAGG